UACGUAGGGGGCGAGCGUUGUCCGGAAUCAUUGGGCGUAAAGCGCGUGUAGGCGGCCCGGUAAGUCCGCUGUGAAAGUCGGGGGCUCAACCCUCGAAUGCCGGUGGAUACUGUCGGGCUAGAGUGCGGGAGAGGCGAGUGGAAUUCCUGGUGUAGCGGUGGAAUGCGCAGAUAUCAGGAGGAACACCUAUAGCGAAGGCAGCUCGCUGGGACGGUACUGACGCUGAGGCGCGAAAGCGUGGGGAGCGAACAGG
RNAcentral lists this ribosomal RNA (253 nucleotides) under uncultured bacterium. RNAcentral describes it as "partial 16S ribosomal RNA". It matches the Rfam family "Bacterial small subunit ribosomal RNA", at positions 524 to 776 of the family's 1533-position model. The record is from RNAcentral.